GCCCCAGUAGCUUAGCCUUUAAAGCGCCGGUCUUGUAAUCCGGAGACCGGAGGUUAAAAUCCUCCCUAUGGCC
RNAcentral lists this transfer RNA (73 nucleotides) under Eigenmannia sp. CBM-ZF-10620. RNAcentral describes it as "tRNA-Thr". It matches the Rfam family "tRNA". From Rfam's summary of the family: Transfer RNA (tRNA) molecules are approximately 80 nucleotides in length. Their secondary structure includes four short double-helical elements and three loops (D, anti-codon, and T loops). Lineage: Eukaryota; Metazoa; Chordata; Actinopteri; Gymnotiformes; Sternopygidae. The record is from RNAcentral.